RNAcentral lists this small nucleolar RNA (136 nucleotides) under Ornithorhynchus anatinus (platypus). The record is from RNAcentral. Lineage: Eukaryota; Metazoa; Chordata; Mammalia; Monotremata; Ornithorhynchidae.
UCCCUCUCAGGGUCAUACCUGGAGAGUUUCCAGUCCUCUACCAGUCUUGGUUAUGGGAGGGAGAGUCAAGCAGAUGCCUACCCAUUCCAUUCCUAGCUUGGGCAGUGGCUAGAGUGGAAGGCAAUCUACUAAGUCA